AACGAACGCUGGCGGCAUGCCUAACACAUGCAAGUCGAACGAUCCCUUCGGGGAUAGUGGCGCACGGGUGCGUAACGCGUCGGAACCUGCCCUUAGGUUCGGAAUAACUCAGAGAAAUUUGAGCUAAUACCGGAUAAUGUCUUCGGACCAAAGAUUUAUCGCCUUUGGAUGGGCCCGCGUUGGAUUAGCUAGUUGGUGGGGUAAAGGCCUACCAAGGCGACGAUCCAUAGCUGGUCUGAGAGGAUGAUCAGCCACACUGGGACUGAGACACGGCCCAGACUCCUACGGGAGGCAGCAGUGGGGGAUAUUGGACAAUGGGCGAAAGCCUGAUCCAGCAAUGCCGCGUGAGUGAUGAAGGCCUUAGGGUUGUAAAGCUCUUUUACCCGGGAUGAUAAUGACAGUACCGGGAGAAUAAGCCCCGGCUAACUCCGUG
Molecule: ribosomal RNA, 433 nt
Filed under: uncultured bacterium
Lineage: Bacteria
Description: partial 16S ribosomal RNA
Rfam family: Bacterial small subunit ribosomal RNA
Source: RNAcentral